Molecule: ribosomal RNA, 446 nt
Filed under: uncultured bacterium
Lineage: Bacteria
Description: bacterial SSU rRNA
Rfam family: Bacterial small subunit ribosomal RNA
Source: RNAcentral
GUACGGGAGGCAGCAGUGGGGAAUAUUGCGCAAUGGGCGAAAGCCUGACGCAGCAACGCCGCGUGAGGGAUGACGGCCUUCGGGUUGUAAACCUCUUUCAGCAGGGAAGAAGCGAAAGUGACGGUACCUGCAGAAGAAGCACCGGCUAACUACGUGCCAGCAGCCGCGGUAAUACGUAGGGUGCAAGCGUUGUCCUGAUUUAUUGGGCGUAAAGAGCUCGUAGGCGGUUAGUCACGUCGGAUGUGAAAACCAGAAGCUUAACUUCUGGCCUGCAUUCGAUACGGGCUGACUAGAGUGUUGUAGGGGAGACUGGAACUCCUGGUGUAGCGGUGAAAUGCGCAGAUAUCAGGAAGAACACCGGUGGCGAAGGCGGGUCUCUGGGCAACUACUGACGCUGAGGAGCGAAAGCGUGGGGAGCAAACAGGAUUAGAUACCCGUGUAGUCCC